This 70-nucleotide transfer RNA is filed under the name Montifringilla henrici (Tibetan snowfinch). RNAcentral's name for it is "tRNA-Val". It matches the Rfam family "tRNA". From Rfam's summary of the family: Transfer RNA (tRNA) molecules are approximately 80 nucleotides in length. Their secondary structure includes four short double-helical elements and three loops (D, anti-codon, and T loops). Further hydrogen bonds mediate the characteristic L-shaped molecular structure. tRNAs have two regions of fundamental functional importance: the anti-codon, which is responsible for specific mRNA codon recognition, and the 3' end, to which the tRNAs corresponding amino acid is attached (by aminoacyl-tRNA synthetases). tRNAs cope with the degeneracy of the genetic code in two manners: having more than one tRNA (with a specific anti-codon) for a particular amino acid; and 'wobble' base-pairing, i.e. permitting non-standard base-pairing at the 3rd anti-codon position. The record is from RNAcentral. Lineage: Eukaryota; Metazoa; Chordata; Aves; Passeriformes; Passeridae.
CAAGACGUAGCUUAAGCAAAAGCAUUCAGCUUACACCUGAAAGAUACUUGCUAACCACGAGUCGUCUUGA